RNAcentral lists this ribosomal RNA (468 nucleotides) under uncultured bacterium. RNAcentral's name for it is "partial 16S ribosomal RNA". It matches the Rfam family "Bacterial small subunit ribosomal RNA", at positions 28 to 507 of the family's 1533-position model. The record is from RNAcentral.
GACGAACGCUGGCGGCGUGCUUAACACAUGCAAGUCGAACGGAAAGGCCCUUCUUUUGUGGGGUGCUCGAGUGGCGAACGGGUGAGUAACACGUGAGUAACCUGCCCUUGACUUUGGGAUAACUUCAGGAAACUGGGGCUAAUACCGGAUAGGAGCUCCUGCUGCAUGGUGGGGGUUGGAAAGUUUCGGCGGUUGGGGAUGGACUCGCGGCUUAUCAGCUUGUUGGUGGGGUAGUGGCUUACCAAGGCUUUGACGGGUAGCCGGCCUGAGAGGGUGACCGGCCACAUUGGGACUGAGAUACGGCCCAGACUCCUACGGGAGGCAGCAGUGGGGAAUAUUGCAAAAUGGGCGGAAGCCUGAUGCAGCAACGCCGCGUGCGGGAUGACGGCCUUCGGGUUGUAAACCGCUUUCGCCUGUGACGAAGCGUGAGUGACGGUAAUGGGUAAAGAAGCACCGGCUAACUACGUG